GUGGGGAAUAUUGGACAAUGGGCGAAAGCCUGAUCCAGCCAUGCCGCGUGUGUGAAGAAGGUCUUCGGAUUGUAAAGCACUUUAAGUUGGGAGGAAGGGCAUUAACCUAAUACGUUAGUGUUUUGACGUUACCAACAGAAUAAGCACCGGCUAACUUCGUGCCAGCAGCCGCGGUAAUACGAAGGGUGCAAGCGUUAAUCGGAAUUACUGGGCGUAAAGCGCGCGUAGGUGGUUCAGCCAUUUGAAGGUGAAAUCCCCGGGCUCAACCUGGGAACUGCCUCCAAAACUACUGAGCUAGAGUACGGUAGAGGGUAGUGGAAUUUCCUGUGUAGCGGUGAAAUGCGUAGAUAUAGGAAGGAACACCAGUGGCGAAGGCGACUACCUGGACUGAUACUGACACUGAGGUGCGAAAGCGUGGGGAGCAAACAGGAUUAGAAACCCGGGUAGUCC
RNAcentral lists this ribosomal RNA (450 nucleotides) under uncultured bacterium. RNAcentral's name for it is "bacterial SSU rRNA". It matches the Rfam family "Bacterial small subunit ribosomal RNA", at positions 354 to 796 of the family's 1533-position model. The record is from RNAcentral.